Molecule: long non-coding RNA, 854 nt
Organism: Clupea harengus (Atlantic herring)
Lineage: Eukaryota; Metazoa; Chordata; Actinopteri; Clupeiformes; Clupeidae
Source: Ensembl
CACACACACACACACACACACACACACACACACACCCUUAUCUGUAGCCCUCUGAGCCUAGAACCUGGCAUACACACACCAAGUAUGCAAACAGACAAUACACAGAACCCCCCCUAUGGAAACACAAAGUGUCCACACAACACAAACUGCCCUGCCCCUCCCUCUGCCAGCCCACACACUGCUCUGCUCACACAGAGCACUCCUGAAAGACCAGGAUGGCACCCUGCCAUGCCAACAGCAUGACCUGAAUCUACAACAGAGAUGGCACAUUGUGGAGACACAUGGCAACAGUCCAUCAUUUAGUAUUGUUGUUGUAUUUCAUUUCAUUGCUUACUCAGGUCUGAGUCUGGCAUUGCUGCCAUUGUUGCUGUAGGUGGUUGCUAACUGGUCUAUUGUUGUUGUAGGUGGUUGCUAACUGGUCCAUUGUUGCUGUAGGUGGUUGCUAACUGGUCCAUUGUUGCUGUAGGCGGUUGCUAACUGGUCUAUUGUUGUUGUAGGUGGUUGCUAACUGGUCCAUUGUUGCUGUAGGUGGUUGCUAACUGGUCCAUUGUUGCUGUAGGUGGUUGCUAACUGGUCUAUUGUUGUUGUAGGUGGUUGCUAACUGGUCCAUUGUUGCUGUAGGUGGUUGCUAACUGGUCCAUUGUUGUUGUAGGUGGUUGCUAACUGGUCCAUUGUUGCUGUAGGUGGUUGCUAACUGGUCCAUUGUUGCUGUAGGUGGUUGCUAACUGGUCCAUUGACUCUGAUAUGUGAUUGCCCGUGACAUGGGGCGAGGUCAGCACAUGGGUAGGUGGACAUUCACAGAGUUAAACUAGAUAGCAAAGCAGUGCAGAACUAAAUUUAAAGACCAAUACGAG